AUACAACUUUCAACAACGGAUCUCUUGGCUCUCGCAUCGAUGAAGAACGCAGCGAAAUGCGAUAAGUAAUGUGAAUUGCAGAAUUCAGUGAAUCAUCGAAUCUUUGAACGCACCUUGCGCCCCUUGGUAUUCCGAGGAGUAUGCCUGUUUGAG
RNAcentral lists this ribosomal RNA (153 nucleotides) under Lyomyces microfasciculatus. Its description in RNAcentral is "5.8S ribosomal RNA". It matches the Rfam family "5.8S ribosomal RNA". From Rfam's summary of the family: 5.8S ribosomal RNA (5.8S rRNA) is a component of the large subunit of the eukaryotic ribosome. It is transcribed by RNA polymerase I as part of the 45S precursor that also contains 18S and 28S rRNA. Lineage: Eukaryota; Fungi; Basidiomycota; Agaricomycetes; Hymenochaetales; Schizoporaceae. The record is from RNAcentral.